This 468-nucleotide ribosomal RNA is filed under the name uncultured bacterium. RNAcentral describes it as "partial 16S ribosomal RNA". It matches the Rfam family "Bacterial small subunit ribosomal RNA", at positions 28 to 507 of the family's 1533-position model. The record is from RNAcentral.
GACGAACGCUGGCGGCGUGCUUAACACAUGCAAGUCGAACGGAAAGGCCCUGCUUUUGUGGGGUGCUCGAGUGGCGAACGGGUGAGUAACACGUGAGUAACCUGCCCUUGACUUUGGGAUAACUUCAGGAAACUGGGGCUAAUACCGGAUAGGAGCUCCUGCUGCAUGGUGGGGGUUGGAAAGUUUCGGCGGUUGGGGAUGGACUCGCGGCUUAUCAGCUUGUUGGUGGGGUAGUGGCUUACCAAGGCUUUGACGGGUAGCCGGCCUGAGAGGGUGACCGGCCACAUGGGGACUGAGAUAAGGCCCAGACUCAUACGGGAGGCAGCAGUGGGGAAUAUUGCACAAUGGGCGGAAGCCUGAUGCAGCAACGCCGCGUGCGGGAUGACGGCCUUCGGGUUGUAAACCGCUUUCGCCUGUGACGAAGCGUGAGUGACGGUAAUGGGUAAAGAAGCACCGGCUAACUACGUG